CAGAGACAUGUCCAUCUUGUGUAGAUUAUAAUCAACUAUAAAUUAUGAUAACAUUUCAGGAAGAGUCUCAAUGACCAUGUCAAUCUAUGUCUAGGAAUCAACGUCAGCUCCUAAAACCUCUGCAGCAUUGAAGUGACCAAUCAUGGUUAACAUAUGGUCCCUUACAAAUGCUCCUAGUUUCAUGCAUGUGUUCAUAAUUGCCCUAAUGGAGGCUUGCCUAGCUUGUCGAUUUUGAUGUCCAAACAUCUCUUGAAGACUUUCCAUUAUGUCAAAAGCAGUUUGCAUAUUCUGAUGUUUUUGUUGUAACACAUUUGACAUGGAUACCAAAAUGUAACAACGGGCCAUCUCAUCAGAAUGAUGCCAUUUUUCAUAUGCAGCCUUUUGAGAUUCCGUGGAGUCAUCUUUAGGAGCUUCGGGACAAACUCCAUCCAGCACAUAUUUGUAUUUUUCAGCGGUAAGAACAUUAUUAAGAUUCUUUUUCCAAUCAACAUAAUUUUAUCCCACAAGUUGAUUUUUGUUAAGUAUUACUGAUAAUGGAUUAAGC
RNAcentral lists this long non-coding RNA (544 nucleotides) under Olea europaea subsp. europaea. The record is from RNAcentral. Lineage: Eukaryota; Viridiplantae; Streptophyta; Magnoliopsida; Lamiales; Oleaceae.